CCUACGGGAGGCAGCAGUGAGGAAUAGUGGUCAAUGGCCGUAAGGCUGAACCAGCCAAGUCGCGUGAAGGAAGAAGGAUCUAUGGGUUGUAAACUUCUUUUAUAGGGGAAUAAAGGUAGCCACGUGUGGAUAUUUGCAUGUACCCUAUGAAUAAGCAUCGGCUAACGCCGUGCCAGCAGCCGCGGUAAUACGGAGGAUGCGAGCGUUAUCCGGAUUUAUUGGGUUUACAGGGGGCGUAGGUUGUUUUUUAAGUCAGCGGUGAAAGUUUGUGGCUCAACCAUAAAAGUGCCGUUGAAACUGGCAGCCUUGCGUGUGUUUGCGGUAGGCGGCAUGC
RNAcentral lists this ribosomal RNA (334 nucleotides) under uncultured bacterium. RNAcentral's name for it is "partial 16S ribosomal RNA". It matches the Rfam family "Bacterial small subunit ribosomal RNA", at positions 338 to 669 of the family's 1533-position model. The record is from RNAcentral.